GUCGUGGAGGUCCGAACCCACUUCAGUUGAAAAUGGAGGGGAUGAGUUGUGGAUAGGGGUGAAAGGCCAAUCAAACACCGUGAUAGCUGGUUCUCCCCGAAAUGCAUUUAGGUGCAGCGUUGCGUGGUUCUUGUUGGAGGUAGAGCACUGGAUGGUCUAGGGGGCUUAUCGGCUUACCGAAAUCAGCCAAACUCCGAAUGCUGGCAAGUGUAGCGUGGCAGUGAGACGGCGGGGGAUAAGCUUCGUCGUCGAGAGGGAAACAGCCCAGAUCAUCAGCUAAGGCCCCUAAGUGGUGACUCAGUGGGAAAGGAUGUGGAGUUGCGUAGACAACCAGGAGGUUGGCUUGGAAGCAGCCAUCCUUGAAAGAGUGCGUAAUAGCUCACUGGUCAAGUGAUUCCGCGCCGAUAAUGUAGCGGGGCUUAAGUUAUCCGCCGAAGCUGUGGCAACCUGUGUGGUUGGGUAGGGGAGCGUCGUGUCAGUGGUGAAGCUGCCGGGUGACCGUGUGGUGGAGGUGAUGCGAGUGAGAAUGCAGGCAUGAGUAGCGUGUGACGGGUGGGAAUCCCGUCCGCCGAUUAUCCAAGGGUUCCAGGGUGAAGUUUGUCUGCCCUGGGUGAGUCGGGUCCUAAGGCGAGGCCGACAGGCGUAGUCGAUGGGUAACCAGUUGAUAUUCUGGUACCGGCAUGUCACCGUCCGUGUCGAGGUGUGUGAUGCUAAGCGUGCGAGUGUCCUGGUGAUCCUUUUUUGGGGUGAUCUUGUGGCGUGAGUGUGUGAACCGAGCAUGUAGUAGGCAAGCUGCGGAGGGACGCAGGGAGGUAGCUCAUCCCCGGCGAUGGUUGUCCGGGGCUAAGUGUGUGGACUGUCUGGUAGGUAAAUCCGCUGGGCGUGAAGGUUGAGGCAUGAUGGGGAGCCCAUGGUUGUGGGUGAGUGAGUGAUCCUGUACUGUCGAGAAAAGCUUCGUGAGCGAGGUGGCGGGUCCGCCCGUACCCUAAACCGACACUGGUGGAUAGGUAGAGUAUACCGAGGCGAUCGAGUGAAUCGUGGUGAAGGAACUCGGCAAAAUGCCCCCGUAACUUUGGGAUAAGGGGGACCUGAGCUGUCGUGCACUUGUGCGGUGUUGUGGCGGUGAGGGGCGCAGAGACCAGGGGGAAACGACUGUUUAUCAAAAACACAGGUCCGUGCGAAGUCGUAAGACGAUGUAUACGGACUGACUCCUGCCCGGUGCUGGAAGGUUAAGGGGAACUGUGAGUGUAUGCGUAGCGGUGAACUUAAGCCCCAGUAAACGGCGGUGGUAACUAUAACCAUCCUAAGGUAGCGAAAUUCCUUGUCGGGUAAGUUCCGACCCGCACGAAAGGCGUAACGAUUUGGGCACUGUCUCAACGAGAGACUCGGUGAAAUCAUAGUACCUGUGAAGAUGCAGGUUACCCGCGACAGGACGGAAAGACCCCGUGGAGCUUUACUGUAGCCUGAUAUUGAAAUUCGGCACAGCUUGUACAGGAUAGGUAGGAGCCAUUGAAACGUGAGCGCUAGCUUACGUGGAGGCGUUGGUGGGAUACUACCCUAGCUGUGUUGGCUUUCUAACCCGCACCACUUAUCGUGGUGGGAGACAGUGUCAGGCGGGCAGUUUGACUGGGGCGGUCGCCUCCUAAAGGGUAACGGAGGCGCCCAAAGGUUCCCUCAGCCUGGUUGGUAAUCAGGUGGUGAGUGUAAGUGCACAAGGGGGCUUGACUGUGAGACUGACAGGUCGAGCAGGGACGAAAGUCGGGACUAGUGAUCUGACGGUGGCUUGUGGAUGUGCCGUCACUCAACGGAUAAAAGGUACCCCGGGGAUAACAGGCUGAUCUUGCCCGAGCGCUCAUAGCGACGGCAUGGUUUGGCACCUCGAUGUCGGCUCGUCGCAUCCUGGGGCUGGAGUCGGUCCCAAGGGUUGGGCUGUUCGCCCAUUAAAGCGGUACGCGAGCUGGGUUCAGAACGUCGUGAGACAGUUCGGUCCCUAUCCGUCGCGGGCGUUGGAAAUUUGAGAGGAGCUGUCCUUAGUACGAGAGGACCGGGAUGGACGUACCUCUGGUGUGCCAGUUGUCCCGCCUGGGGCAUGGCUGGUUGGCUACGUACGGAAGG
Molecule: ribosomal RNA, 2115 nt
Filed under: Gecarcoidea natalis
Lineage: Eukaryota; Metazoa; Arthropoda; Malacostraca; Decapoda; Gecarcinidae
Description: bacterial LSU rRNA
Rfam family: Bacterial large subunit ribosomal RNA
Source: RNAcentral